UACGUAGGUGGCAAGCGUUGUCCGGAUUUACUGGGCGUAAAGAGCGCGCAGGCGGUCGGAUUAGUCGCGUGUGAAAGCCCCCGGCUCAACUGGGGAGGGUCACGCGAUACUGUUCGACUCGAAGGCAGGAGAGGGAAGUGGAAUUCCCGGUGUAGUGGUGAAAUGCGUAGAUAUCGGGAGGAACAUCAGUGGCGAAGGCGGCUGCCUGGCCCAAUACUGACACUCAGGUGCGACAGCGUGGGGAGCAAACAGG
RNAcentral lists this ribosomal RNA (253 nucleotides) under uncultured bacterium. RNAcentral's name for it is "partial 16S ribosomal RNA". It matches the Rfam family "Bacterial small subunit ribosomal RNA", at positions 524 to 776 of the family's 1533-position model. The record is from RNAcentral.